GCCCGGAGCCGGGUGGGAGUGACCAAGAGCAUUCUCCACAUCACCAGUGCAGCAGGACUGCCGCUGGGUCCUGCCCCGAGUGCCAAGGGUCGCUCUACCCCAGUAACCACGAUAGAAUGCUGACGGCUGUGAAGAAAAAGCCAAUGGCAUCUCUAGAUGGGAAAGGGGAUUCUUCCUGGACUUUAGCAAGGUUGUAUCACCCGGACUCCACAGAGCUACAGCCUGCAUCUUCAUUAACUUCAGGCAGUCCAGAGCGCGCGGAAGCCCAGUACUUGCUUGUUUCCAAUGGCCACCUCCCCAAAGCAUGUGACGCCAGUCCCGAGUCCACGCCACUGACAGGACAGCUCCCCGGGAAACAGAGGGUGCCACUGCUGUUGGCACCAAAAAGCUAGGUUUUGUCUACCUCAGUUCUUGUCAUACCAAUCUCUACGGGAAAGAGAGGUAGGAGAGGCUGCGAGGAAGCUUGGGUUCAAGCGUCACUCAUCUGUACAUAGUUGUAACUCCCAUGUGGAGUAUCAGUCGCUCACAGGACUUGGAUCUGAAGCACAGUAAACGCAAGAGGGGAUUUGUGUACAAAAGGCAAAAAAAGUAUUUGAUAUCAUUGUACAUAAGAGUUUUCAGAGAUUUCAUAUAUAUCUUUUACAGAGGCUAUUUUAAUCUUUAGUGCAUGGUUAACAGAAAAAAAUUAUACAAUUUUGACAAUAUUAUUUUUCGUAUCAGGUUGCUGUUUAAUUUUGGAGGGGGUGGGGAAAUAGUUCUGGUGCCUUAACGCAUGGCUGGAAUUUAUAGAGGCUACAACCACAUUUGUUCACAGGAGUUUUUGGUGCGGGGUGGGAAGGAUGGAAGGCCUUGGAUUUAUAUUGCACUUCAUAGACCCCUAGGCUGCUGUGCGGUGGGACUCCACAUGCGCCGGAAGGAGCUUCAGGUGAGCACUGCUCAUGUGUGGAUGCCCCUGCAACAGGCUUCCCUGUCUGUAGAGCCAGGGGUGCAAGUGCCAUCCACACUUGCAGUGAAUGGCUUUUCCUUUUAGGUUUAAGUCCUGUCUGUCUGUAAGGCGUAGAAUCUGUCCGUCUGUAAGGCGUAGAAUGAGGGUUGUUAAUCCAUCACAAGCAAAAGGUCAGAACAGUUAAACACUGCCUUUCCUCCUCCUCUUAUUUUAUGAUAAAAGCAAAUGUGGCCUUCUCAGUAUCAUUCGAUUGCUAUUUGAGACUUUUAAAUUAAGGUAAAGGCUGCUGGUGUUGGUACCUGUGGAUUUUUCUAUACUGAUGUUUUCGUUUUGCCAAUAUAAUGAGUAUUACAUUGGCCUUGGGGGACAGAAAGGAGGAAGUUCUGACUUUUCAGGGCUACCUUAUUUCUACUAAGGACCCAGAGCAGGCCUGUCCAUGCCAUUCCUUCGCACAGAUGAAACUGAGCUGGGACUGGAAAGGACAGCCCUUGACCUGGGUUCUGGGUAUAAUUUGCACUUUUGAGACUGGUAGCUAACCAUCUUAUGAGUGCCAAUGUGUCAUUUAGUAAAACUUAAAUAGAAACAAGGUCCUUCAAAUGUUCCUUUGGCCAAAAGCUGAAGGGAGUUACUGAGAAAAUAGUUAACAAUUACUGUCAGGUGUCAUCACUGUUCAAAAGGUAAGCACAUUUAGAAUUUUGUUCUUGACAGUUAACUGACUAAUCUUACUUCCACAAAAUAUGUGAAUUUGCUGCUUCUGAGAGGCAAUGUGAAAGAGGGAGUAUUACUUUUAUGUACAAAGUUAUUUAUUUAUAGAAAUUUUGGUACAGUGUACAUUGAAAACCAUGUAAAAUAUUGAAGUGUCUAACAAAUGGCAUUGAAGUGUCUUUAAUAAAGGUUCAUUUAUAAAUG
RNAcentral lists this long non-coding RNA (1855 nucleotides) under Homo sapiens (human). RNAcentral's name for it is "HSALNT0055706". The record is from RNAcentral. Lineage: Eukaryota; Metazoa; Chordata; Mammalia; Primates; Hominidae.